RNAcentral lists this ribosomal RNA (399 nucleotides) under uncultured bacterium. Its description in RNAcentral is "bacterial SSU rRNA". It matches the Rfam family "Bacterial small subunit ribosomal RNA", at positions 358 to 774 of the family's 1533-position model. The record is from RNAcentral.
GGGAUAUUGCACAAUGGGGGAAACCCUGAUGCAGCGACGCCGCGUGAGUGAAGAAGUAGUUCGGUAUGUAAAGCUCUAUCAGCAGGAAAGAAAAUGACGGUACCUGACUAAGAAGCCCCGGCUAACCACGUGCCAGCAGCCGCGGUAAUACGUAGGGGGCAAGCGUUAUCCGGAUUUACUGGGGGUAAAGGGAGCGUAGACGGUGAAGCAAGUCUGAAGUGAAAGGCGGGGGCUCAACCCCCGGACUGCUUUGGAAACUGUUUGGCUGGAGUGCAGGAGAGGUAAGUGGAAUUCCUAGUGUAGCGGUGAAAUGCGUAGAUAUUAGGAGGAACACCAGUGGCGAAGGCGGCUUACUGGACUGUAACUGACGUCGAGGCUCGAAAGCGUGGGGAGCAAACA